UACGAAGGGGGCUAGCGUUGUUCGGAUUUACUGGGCGUAAAGCGCACGUAGGCGGAUUGUUAAGUGAGGGGUGAAAUCCCAGGGCUCAACCCUGGAACUGCCUUUCAUACUGGCAAUCUCGAGUCCGGAAGAGGUGAGUGGAACUCCUAGUGUAGAGGUGGAAUUCGUAGAUAUUCGGAAGAACACCAGUGGCGAAGGCGACUCACUGGCCCGUUACUGACGCUGAGGCGCGAAAGCGCGGGGAGCAAACAGG
RNAcentral lists this ribosomal RNA (253 nucleotides) under uncultured bacterium. Its description in RNAcentral is "partial 16S ribosomal RNA". It matches the Rfam family "Bacterial small subunit ribosomal RNA", at positions 524 to 776 of the family's 1533-position model. The record is from RNAcentral.